This is a long non-coding RNA of Sarcophilus harrisii (Tasmanian devil), 367 nucleotides long. RefSeq lists it as uncharacterized. The record is from RefSeq and is a predicted model, not a curated record. The transcript is spliced from 3 exons. Lineage: Eukaryota; Metazoa; Chordata; Mammalia; Dasyuromorphia; Dasyuridae.
UCCAUCAUACUGAAAAUCCAUUGUUUUAGCACCUACCAUUGCUUUAGGAAGUUAGGCAUGACAGUGGUUUCAUUUUAUUCUCUGAUGUGGUAUAACAGCCUGCAAUAUUUCAUGUCCAAACAUAGAUGAUUUCACAUCAUAGUUAAACUUCUGAAGAUUGACACAAUGGCAGAUCUUAUAUCAGAUGUAUGGAAACUUGUUCUAUGUUUGAUAACGUGGCUGAAAACAUCAAGGGAGCAAGCAAACUGCCUUGUUUCACUCCACUGGUGACUGGGAAAGCUCGAGAGCAUUGUCCAUUGUCCAGAACCCAGGCAAGUGUGUCAUCAUGAAAUUGACUUAUUAUAUUGAUGAAAUUCUCUGGGCAACU